This 3465-nucleotide ribosomal RNA is filed under the name Triticum aestivum (bread wheat). RNAcentral's name for it is "partial small subunit ribosomal RNA". Lineage: Eukaryota; Viridiplantae; Streptophyta; Magnoliopsida; Poales; Poaceae. The record is from RNAcentral.
AUGGAGGGCUUCAGGGAUACUGUAGAUUACUGUCGGUUUAUCGACCUUGGGUUCUCUGGUCUUCCGUAUACAUGGGACAACCGGCAACAAGGUAGAUGUAACGUGAAAGUACGGCUGGAUAGAGGAAUGGCUGAUGAUAAAUUCCUAGAGCUUUUUGACAACACAUUUGUACAACACAUUCAGACAUCUGAAUCGGACCACUGUGCGCUUCUCUUAAGGACCCAACGGUCUGUUUGGGACCAUGACUACAGCCGCAACAAGCCUUUCCGUUUCGAGAAUGCAUGGACGAGGCAUGAGAGGUACGAGGAAGUGGUAGUUGAGAGCUGGCAACCACAAGCAAAUGACCUGGCCGGGGUAUAUGACGCACUGAAUUCUGUUCGCCAAAAGUUGCAGAAAUGGAGUAGGGAGGAGUUUGGUUCUGUUCAAAAACAGCUCAAAGCUAUGAGACACCGGCUAGAGAGGGUGCGAGCAGCUUCUCUGCGGUCUGGACCAACUAGAGCCGAGAAAGACCUCUUGAAACGUAUAUCUGAAUUGUUGGCCAGGGAGGAGGCGUUGACAAAGCAACGCUCCAGGGUACUAUGGCUAUCAGAAGGUGAUAGAAACACUGAAUUUUUCCAUGCUAAGAUGAAAGAAAGAUCCCGCAUAAAUAAGAUAAAAAAACUAAAGAAGCCAGAUGGCUCAGUGGCUAUGACACGGCCAGAGCUGGAGACCCUCGCUAUGAAUUUUUAUUCUGAUCUCUUCACAGCCCAACAUGAGACGAGGCCGGAGCUAGUGACAGACUGGGUUCCGAACAAAGUUACUGAAGCAAUGAAUGUUAGGCUGUGUGCACCAAUUUCCAAUGAAGAGAUAGAGAAUGCGCUCUUUAUGAUGCAUACCAAUAAAGCCCCUGGUCCUGAUGGGUUUACGGCGGGCUUCUAUAUUCGUCAUUGGUACUUACUUAAAGAUGUUGUUUGUGAUGCGAUUCGCACUUUCCUUGAGGGAGGAGAAAUGCCGGAGAUUGUGAACAGUACUGUGUUGGUUCUUAUUCCUAAAAUCAAAAAUCCGCAAGAUUUAACACAGUACAGACCGAUCUCCUUGUGUAAUGUGCUCUAUAAGCUAGCUUCAAAAGUCCUUGCUCUACGAUUGAGACCAGUACUGGAUGAUAUCAUUGCAGAAGAGCAGUCAGCGUUUGUCCCGGGCCGGCUGAUUUCGGACGACGUCCUAACGGCAUAUGAGUGCAUUCAUUAUCUUAAGAAAAAGAAGGGCAAGUCUGGAGAUAUGGCAGUGAAGCUUGAUAUGGCUAAGGCGUACGAUAGGGUGGAAUGGACAUACUUGCGUGCGAUGAUGGAGAAACUUGGGUUUGCUGCUGAGUGGAUCGACCGGGUAAUGGUAUGCGUUCAGACUGUGUCUUUUUCAAUUCGAGUUAAUGGGCAAUUCUCAGAAUCUUUCAGACCUACCAAAGGCAUCAGGCAGGGCGAUCCCAUCUCACCGUAUCUAUUUCUCAUAUGUGCGGAAGGGUUGAGCAGUUUGUUGAAAUUCCGUGGCCCAGACCAGCUAUCCCGAGGUGUUAGAGUUGGAAUACAUGCUCCAUGGGUGUCCCACUUGUUGUUUGUAGAUGAUUGUCUGGUGUUUACACAGGCAUCUUCUGAGGCAGCUACCAGAUUGCAUAACACUCUAAACGUCUAUCCAGAAGCUUCAGGCCAAAUGGUGAACCGAGCGAAGUCUGCCAUAUUCUUCAGUGCCAAUUGUUCUGACGAGAUGAAAGCGGUGGUCCGUGAGCAAACUGAGAUUGACACGGAAGCUCUUGUUGAGAAGUAUUUGGGGCUGCCAACGGCCAUUGGUCGCUCUUCCGAUGUUCAAUUCGAACACAUUGCCACCAGUAUCCGUAAACUAGUAAAUGGGUAUGUUCCCAAACUUCUGAGCACCGCAGCAAGGGAAGUUUUGAUCAAAGCGGUUUGUCAGGCAAUUCCCACAUAUUCCAUGAGUUGUUUCAGGUUGUCCAAAAAACUAUGUAAAAAGUUGACUGUUAUAGUGGCUCGAUUCUUCUGGGGUGGAGAUGAAAGCCGAAGGAAGCUUCAUUGGAAAAAAUGGAGAGAUAUAGCUAUACCAAAAGGAGAUGGAGGCAUGGGCUUUAGGGAUUUUGAAAUGUUUAAUCAAGCUAUGCUUGCAAAACAGGGCUGGAGGUUGAUUACCACACCAAAAUCAUUGUGUGCUAGAGUUCUUAAAGGCAAGUAUUUUCAUGAUCAUGACUUUAUGUUAGCCAAGAACAAGAGAGGGUCAUCACACAUUUGGAGGGCAAUACUCCAUGGCAGAGAGGUACUAAAACUAGGGUUAGUGAAGAGGGUUGGAGAUGGCUCUUCUAUUCGGCCUUGGGAUGAUCCAUGGAUUCCAUCUAAUUAUGGUUUCAAACCUAUUGUGAAGCUCCCAGGUGCAGCCGUGAACACAGUACAAGAUCUGAUAGAUGAAGACACUGGGGAAUGGGAUAUCAAUAUGAUAAAAUUGCAUUUUGUUGAACCUGAUGUGAGUGCAAUCUGCAGGAUCCCCCUCGGUCGCUUCACCGAGGACUCAUGGGUGUGGCACUUUGAAAAGCAUGGGAAUUUCACAGUAAGAUCAGCAUACAAAGAGCUAGUAGCUAAAUGCCAUCAAAGAGUCCAGCCGGGUUCCAGUAGUAGUCAAGCAAAUGCAUGGAAGAAAAUGUGGCGACUUCAAGUUCCUCCAAAGGUUAGGAAUUUCUGGUGGCGUAUUUGUCAUGAUUUCAUUCCGUGCCGCGCGGUGCUGAAGCGAAGACAUGUGGAGGAAAUUGACUUCUGUGAAAGUUGUGGGCAGCUGGAAACUUCGAUGCAUGCAAUUUUUCAUUGUACUUGGGCUCGGAGUUUUUGGGACGAGAUUAAAAUUCUAACUGGCAUUAAAAUUCCCAAACUUCACCCGCAGUCGUGGACACUUGAUCUUGUUGAUGGAACCAAGGUUUCUCAAGCAGAUGCUUGCGUUAUUUGUUGUGGUGCGUGGGCAAUAUGGACUGAGCGAAAUACAAGAAGACAUGGGGAGGCUGGACGUACCAUAGCGCAAUCUGUCAAAUGGGUUACUGAUACAGUGAUGGAUUUGGUUAUGGCAGGAAAAGAAAACUUAGUUAAGGCGCCGAAGGUGAAAGCUAAAUGGUCACCACCUGAAAAUGGAGUGAUCAAGAUGAAUGUAGAUGCCUCCUUUGAUAAGAAUACCAAUCAAGGGUCUUCCGGGCUGGUGAUCCGUGAUAGUUUUGGCAAUCUCCUACGUGCACAGGCCCUUUGGUAUGAGUUUGCAGCAAGCUCGAUGGCAAUGGAAGCUGAGGCGAUUCGGGAUGGGGUGCAAGUGGCCCUGGAGAGAGGCUUCCGUAGAGUUGUCGUCGAGAGCGACGCUCAAGCAAUCAUAAAGCUGUGGGAGACAGAAGAUUUUGAUCGUGCUGAGAUCGUUGGAGUUCUUCACGAGAUCAAAGAACUGAGUGCACAAUUU